AGGGUUUGAUCAUGGCUCAGGACGAACGCUGGCGGCGUGCCUAAUACAUGCAAGUCGAGCGAAUCUUUGGGAGCUUGCUCCCAAAGGUUAGCGGCGGACGGGUGAGUAACACGUGGGCAACCUGCCUAUAAGACUGGGAUAACUUCGGGAAACCGGAGCUAAUACCGGAUAAUCCCUUUCCUCUCAUGAGGAAAGGCUGAAAGAUGGUUUCGGCUAUCACUUAUAGAUGGGCCCGCGGCGCAUUAGCUAGUUGGUGAGGUAACGGCUCACCAAGGCAACGAUGCGUAGCCGACCUGAGAGGGUGAUCGGCCACACUGGGACUGAGACACGGCCCAGACUCCUACGGGAGGCAGCAGUAGGGAAUCUUCCGCAAUGGACGAAAGUCUGACGGAGCAACGCCGCGUGAGUGAUGAAGGUUUUCGGAUCGUAAAACUCUGUUGUUAGGGAAGAACAAGUACGAGAGUAACUGCUCGUACCUUGACGGUACCUAACCAGAAAGCCACGGCUAACUACGUGCCAGCAGCCGCGGUAAUACGUAGGUGGCAAGCGUUGUCCGGAAUUAUUGGGCGUAAAGCGCGCGCAGGCGGUCCUUUAAGUCUGAUGUGAAAGCCCACGGCUC
RNAcentral lists this ribosomal RNA (619 nucleotides) under uncultured Bacillus sp. RNAcentral describes it as "bacterial SSU rRNA". It matches the Rfam family "Bacterial small subunit ribosomal RNA", at positions 8 to 610 of the family's 1533-position model. Lineage: Bacteria; Bacillati; Bacillota; Bacilli; Caryophanales; Bacillaceae. The record is from RNAcentral.